CUUCCUCCACCCUCCACCAUCACCCCCUCUCUCUCCCUCUCCAAUUCCGGCGAAAGUCCGGCGACUUACGGUGGAACCAGGGUUUUCCGGCACUAGUACACAAAUGAGCCAAAGAUGCCAUGGCAAAAGCAGAAGAUGCAGUUAGAUCCCGUAAACCGCAUCUUACAAACUUAAAAAAAAAGAAAAUUGCACCAAAAGAUGUGGUUUUCCCCAACCGUAUCUUAUACAUUCUACUUUUUUAAUAUACAUUUGAAAAGCAAUUUAAAAAAAUUCAAUUCCCUCCGUUUGACCUACUUUUUCCCCAAAAUUAUUUGGUUUCCCUCCAAUCUCAAAUCCUAUCACCCCUUAAUCGACCUAUUGGAUUCAUAUUCCUCUCUAAUCUCAAACCUCAAAGACCUAAUUUUCUCAUAUUUUGAUCACAACCCGCCGUUUGUAGAAGAUGAGGGUUCUAGAACGAGAUUGCUGAAUGUUCCCUGGACUUGUACUGCUGAUGAUAUUCGUCCUCUGUUUUAGAAGUAUGGCACCGUUGUUGAUAGUGAGGUUUGCUAUUUCACAUAUCUUUUUGUUAGGUUUUGUUUGAUUAUUGUUUCGUUUAUCUGGGUUUUGUCCUAAAACUUGGAGACAAGUGAUUCCCUAGUAUUUUAACCUACAAUGUAGAAACACAAAUGGACAAAUCUUUUGUAAAUACCUUGGAAUAAAGAAGACGAACUGCUGGCGGCGUGGAAAGAUGCCCGGACAAGGUUUUCUUGGAUCGAUGCAUCAUGGUCCAGCUUCGAAAUUGGGGUUGGAUUCACCGGUUGGCUCGCCAUUUCGUUGCUUGUUUUCUAACUCGUGGAACUCAUUCACUCGGACAUUUAUGGUCCAGUCUUACCUAUAUUUCAUAGUGGAAAUAGGUUUAAUGAGUUUUGCCUGGAGAAUGAGAUUGAACAACAGUUGACAACAUGGUUCAUUCCAUGACAAAAUGGCGUGAUUCUUUAAUGUGGUGAUUACAUUAUUGGCUGCCACAAAAGUUCCAAUUAUGUUUCGGGCUGGGGCAAUGGUUUGGGCCUUCUAUGUCUUAAAUCGGUGUCCAACCAAGAGUCUUUCAAGCGUCACUCCACAAGAAUCUUGGAAUGGUUCUAACAGGGUCGGCCUUGAGAAUUCGUGUACCCUUUUCGAGCUCGAAAAAAUGUGCCCUUAGGCCUUAAUGAAAUUGGGUAUUGGGCUCUCUAAAGGUCUAAACCUAAUGCCAAAGGGGUUAAUAACCAAUCUAAACUAUAAGAAUAGUUUUGUAAGGGGGCCUAUGUUGGUGUUUGUAUGGGUGUACCGUAUUAAACUAAUAUUUUACAUAUACAUAUCGAGUUAUUUUCAUAAAAAAAAAAACGUGCCCCUCGAAAUAUCGGGCCCUAGCCGGUGGUCCUCCCCGCCCACCCCCAGGGCCGGCCAUGGGUUCUAAGCCAACAGUUGGGCACUUUCGGGUGAGGGGUUGCAUAGCUCAUGUUCACGUGCCCAAAGAGAAACGCAUGAAGUUGGAUGGGAGAAGCAUUACUUGUGUCUUAACGGGAAUUAGUGAAUGGUCCAAAGGGUACAGACUUAUUAAUCAUUCAACUAUGAUAAUAAUAGUUAGUAAAGAUGUGAUCUUUGAAGGAACUAAGGCGUAGAAUUAGAUUGAAGUUCAAGCUGGAAAGGUUGAUGAAGAUCUGACAAGGCGUGACAGUGAAGUGAAUUCAGAAGAAAAUGAAGGUAAUUCUUAUGUUGAGCCAAAUGUGAAUACUAGUGGAUCCACUAUCAUGCAAGGUGGUGUUACUAAAUAUGUUCCAGGUCCAAGCCCUACAUCAGCUAGGGAGGGCAGACAAAGGAGAGAACCAAGUUACUUGCGUGACUAUAUAACAGGUAAUGAUGUCGAUGAUGAAGUAAAUGUUCUUGAGGUUGAUCACCAAGACCCUAUAACCUAUGCAGAGGCUGCUUUGUUGGCGGUUUGUUAGAGUCUAUGGAAAGAAACCAUACGUGGGACUUGGUGGACCUUCCAAAGGAUGUAAAGUGCAUUGGUAUUUAUGGGUGUAUAGAACAAAGUUUAAUGAAAUGGGAAAGAUAUAUAAGGCUUGCUUGGUCGCCAAUGGGUACAGGCAAGAAUAUGGAAUUGAUUAUAUCAAGGUUUACACUCCACUUGCCAUAAUGGAUAUUAUACAUAUCAUGAUUGCGAUGGCAGCUCAGAGGGGUUGGGAUAUAUUGCAAAUAGAUGAUAAGUCUGCUUUCUUGUAUGGAACCCUCGAAAAAGAUGUGUAUCUCCAACAACCCAAUGGCCAUGCUACGAAGGGAAGUGAGAACAAGGUGUAUAAGCUUCGAAAGGCCUUAUAUGGACUUAAGCAAGCAUACCCAGGGCCCGGCUCAGUCGCAUCGAGUCAUAUUCUUUAUCAAGGAAGGAUUCAUGAAAAGCGGAAAUAAACAUACUUUGUUAAUAAAGAAAGAUUCAAGGGGUAGUGUUUUGUAUGUUAAUGUGUGUCGAUGACUUAAUCUACACAGGAAAUGAUCAAGGAAUGCUGUUGAGGUUUAGAUCAUCCAUAGAAAAGGAAUUUGAGAUGUCAUAUUUGGGCUUGAUGCAGUACUUCUUAGGAAUUGAGGUUGUCCAAACCGAGUUUGAGACUCGCAUUUCUCAAAGAAUGUAUGCAGCUGAGAUACUAAAAAGAUUUAUAAAGAUGGUGGAAUGCAAUGUUGUUGUAAAUCCAGUUACACCUGGAUGCAAAUGCAAGUUGGUGGCUAGUGCAGAUACUCGAGAUGAAAUUGUUUUUAAGCAAAUGGUGAGAAGUUUAAUGUAGAUCAAAACCAUAAAUGGUGGGAAACAAAUUGAGGCAUGUUGCACUACCAAAAGGAUGCUUAGAUAUUUGCAGGGCACUAUGGAUUUUGGAAUUUGGUACAGGCGAGGACAAGGAGAAAUGAAAGUAUGCACUAACAAUGAUUUUUCAAGGGAUUUGAAUGACAAAAAGAGUACUUCUGGAUAUGUUUAUUUAUGGGAUAAUGCUGGAGUGGCAUGGUGUUCAAAGAAACAAUAUAUAGUUGCAUUGUCUUCCACAGAGCUAGGUGGAAUAUGUUGCUGAUGCAACUUGUGCUGGUCAGGUGAUGUGGGCUUGAGAGGUACUUGAAGAGUUUAGAGUCAAGAACGAAGAUGCAACCGCUGUUAGAUGUGACAAUACUUCCACAAUAAAGCUAUCAAAAUAAUCCAGUUUUUCAUGGGAGGUUUAAGCACAUUGGAGUUGGAUUUCGUUUCUUGCGAGAUUUGGUGAGCAAAAGGGAAAUUACUUUGGAGCAAUGUGGUUCUUGAGAGCUGACGUUCCCACUAAACCUUUGAAUCGGGAAGUCUUCUUAAACCCACCCGAGGAAGGAGCUUGGAGUUUGCAAACUGGAUGAUGACCCUCCAUCAAGUUUGAGGGAGGGAAUGAAAGAAUAAGUGCAUGCACAUUUCUCGUGGGUUUUUGGUUGUUGAUUUACUUUUGAAUAAGUUAGUCAAGUCAGUCUAACAUUGGGUUGUUGCUUGGUUUACCGAGUCUUUUGUUACUUUUCAGUUCUUUUGUGUUGUAUGUUAUUUCCCUUCAUUCACUUUUUGUAUUUAAGGAUGCUUGCGUAUGAAUAAGAUUAUCAGAAAAAUGUUUUGAGCUA
Helianthus annuus (common sunflower) is the source of this 3633-nucleotide long non-coding RNA. RefSeq lists it as uncharacterized. Lineage: Eukaryota; Viridiplantae; Streptophyta; Magnoliopsida; Asterales; Asteraceae. The record is from RefSeq and is a predicted model, not a curated record. The transcript is spliced from 3 exons.